GACUGAAACAAUAUGGAUGGGUCUUAGGAAAAGAAGGCAAGAUAUUGAUAAUGGUCUUCAGAAAAAUGCAUUUCCUCAGAUGGAAGUAGUUAAGACCCAAGAGGGAACUAUUUUAAGGGGAAAAAUUUUGGAGAACUGGCAAUGGCUUAAGAAAUUUCUGUUAAAGGAAGACAUACAGACUAUCCCAACAUGAAAAAUGGUUUAGAAAGUUGUAAGAAACUUACUUGGCAAACAGACCUUUAGGGAUCUCAGAGACAGGUGGGAAAUGCACAGGAUCAAGAAACUUCAUCAAAGCACUAUGGACAAGUUUAUUAGACAAGCACAAAUAUAUAGGGACAAAAGGUAGACAAAGAACAACAAAAAAGCGUCUGAUAAGUAUAAGAAGAAUGAGAUGAAUGUCCAUGACACAGUUGUUCCUCAUCUCAAGGGAGAGGAAGAUGUCAGCCAAAUACAUAAAAAAAUAACGCUAUCUCAAAAGUGAUUAGGUGUUUGGCACAAUUAACAUUACUGAAAAGAAACGAGAAGUCAGGCUAUAAUGGGAGAAAAAAAGAUAUAGCAGGUAGGUGUUUCAAAUGAUCUGGACUUGACAACAUUCACCUAUGUGUAUUCUGGAAGAUAGCUGGAAAAACCCACAGAGAAAUGGUAAUGACAUUUGAGAACAUGGGCUGGGGAGUGAAGUGGGCAAAGACUAACAUAGUGCCAAUCUUUGGAAAGAAGGAUGGGGUGAUACAGUGAGUUGGCAUGAUUUAAGUUUUCAGAAUAAAGUUGAAAUAAAUACUCAGUCUGUAAGCAUGCAGAAGACAACAGAGGUAUAAAUAACAGCCAAAACAUUUCUUCUUUUUAUAAAGAACAACCUUCAUUGAAGAAAUUUAAUUUCUUUUUUUUUGACAAAGCAAUAAGCUUGGAGGAUAGGAAAGAAACCAUAGAUGUCAAAUAGUAUGACUUAAGGUCUGGACAUUAUUUCACUAGAUAGUCUCCUAAGCAAUUUUGGGAAAUGACGAUUAGAUAAUGCUACUAUUUCUUGUACUGCUGUUUGACUGGAAAAUAGCAAAGCAUUAAUAACUAUUCUCUGAGAAGCAUCAGACCAGAACAAUGUAUUAAGAAACAAAAGCAUAAGUCUGUCAUAGGACAGGUACCAGUCAACUUUUUUUUUAUUAACGACUUUGAGAUUCUACAGACUGAUGGCAUUUGCAAUUCAUGUGAACAAGCAGGAAGACAAGACUGAAAUCUGAAAUUGUCUUGACAGAUUGGAAAAAUCUUCUGGAAAAAAUAAAGUCCAAUUCAAUAAGGCCAAAUGUAAAAUUCUAGCCCUCACAAAGAAUAAUCAGCUGUGCGAUACGGGAGAGUGGAUGAGUAGCAGCAGCCAGCGGAGGAGACUUGGGGCCAUAGCAGGCACAUAAGGAACGUUUGUCAGGAAUUCACGCUGCUGUGGAAAAGGAAACUGCCCUGCAGAGAUUGGAAUGCACCAGGCUAUUGCAUCAAGCAGAAUAAUUUUUCAUGAAACAGGGAAAAAAAGGCAGAAGAGGAACUGGAAUUCACAGAGAUAUCGUUAUGUAUAACUGAAAACCAGGAGGGACGGUAAGGAAGGCGUAUCAUUUGAAUCAUCCCUUACAGCUGCAGGACUGGGACCUGUGAUGGUGAGGAUGCAGAUGGUCUGGAGCAUCAGAGCUGUGGUUUAUGAAUGUGACCACCAGAAACUACAAGAUUCUACAUAGCAGAAGUUUCUAUGAACUGCCAACACACUAGUUUAUGUUCACAAAUUCCUUUCAGUUUAUAAAUUGGGGUCAGUAACUUCACAAACUGAGGCACAGGUUGCUGCAAAGGUUUUUGCUCAGAACCAAAUCUCUGCCUAUUUCUUAUGUGGCCACUAAACUUUGUUGCCACUGCCCGUGAUGAUUAGAAUAGAAUAGAAUAGAAUAGAAUGGAAUAGAAUAGAAUUGAAUAAUUAUUAAUAAAUAAUUAAAUGUUAAAAAUUAAAUGCUAAAUUUAUAUAGCUUGUUUUUUUUAGAAGAAUAGCACUACAGAGGACAUCUGGAUCUACCAGAGAUGGUGAAAUUUCACCCAGCAUCUGGCACCCCGAAAGUGCUGCUGGCAGCCUGCUGCUUGCCAGGGCGGGAUUAAUUCCUGUGCCGAUGUGGUGGCUUUGGCACGGAUCAACAUGAGGAAUGUCAACAUCAAUUACCUGUUAAAUCUUACCAAAAUGCUGUGACAUGGAGGCAGAAUAGACUUCCAGAGCAGACAGGCUAUAGCACGUAGAAGCAAGUCACCGAGAUUUUAUACAGCUGUCACGCUUGCAAAGAAUUUAUUCUGUGGUUCUGUUUUUAUUCCACGGGCACGUAGUUUAAUUUGCCAAACUGUAAUCAUGCCAAUAUUAAUUAUCCAUAAUGAGUCAGUCAUGCAAAGUAAAACCUGACCACCAGGGAGAUAUUAGAGGUGAUGUACUUAUUUUUUAUGUGCAUAUUAAUCUGCUAACUUUAAAUCUAAAGAACAUUGUUAGACUGAAAAGGCACUCAUUAUUAAAAUUAGGCUGAAAGUUAUAAGGCAGAAAAGAUGCUGAAUGAUCUCAUGUGGCAACAGUGAUUUACAAAUAUUCCUUAUUAAAAACAGAAAGAGGUUGUGUUUCAACACUUUAAUUAUUCUGUAAACAGUAUCCGAUUAACUUGUAUUAAUCUUAUGUUUGUUUGUUUUCUUGACCUGUGUGAAUGGCACAGGAAUUUAUUAGCAUUUUUCAUUUAUACCCAUUUACAAAGAUGUCAAGGUGAUAGAGUAACUGAGGUUACAGGGUUGGGAGGGGAAGAAAUGAUAGCCAAUGUCUACUUAGCAGAGUGUACAUAAGCUAAACAAGUGACUGUGAACUGCAGCCAUGCGAUGUUUUUCAUUUAUGAUAAACUUGUCCGAAAUCGCAGCAUUUCUCAGAGUUCAGUGUGACAUCAGGCGGAUGACUCUACUAGUACUGAAAACAGGUUUGUUAUGUUAAUGAGUAAUUAAGCUAAGUAAACUAUAUAUUUGCUGACUUCAAGAUAUGUAAAGCUCCCCAAAGACAAAUAAGAUAAGGGUAUAAUCUGAAGUAUUUUAGGAAUCUUGUGGCAGCGUGCUUAGAUUAGUCCAAAGGGAUAGGCAUGUUUGUUUUUUGAGCAUCCUUUCCUGAGCAGAUUUGAGAUAACCCUCGUGACUCUGCUCUCCAAGGAGAGUGCUAUGUCUAAUCCAUUGCAAAGCUGUCUGUGCCUUUUACUAAUAAUCUAAUGGACUGAGCCCAGCUCUGAAAUUUGGAGUGUUGUUAUAUUGAACCAUACAUUUAUAGCUAUUAACAUAAUAUGGAAUACUGCCAUUUCACAGUGGCUGAUGAGUUGGAGAGCGGAGGGUGUCACAGUCCAGCAGAGAACAACAGAGGACUUAGAAGAGCACUUCUGUGUACAGCCAAUAACUAUCAAAUAGCCAAAUACAUGGGAGCAAUUUGCAGAAAAUCCCCACCUUGUAUAUAAUAAUAAGAGUCUCAGCGCAUAGGAGGUGAAGCUGAAGACUGUUGCGAAAGGUGUUAGGUUGCAGACCACUUAGAGAGCCCAAUGUCAAGGUUAAAAUGCCUUUGAAAAAGCAUAUCUAUUAAUCAGACUGAGACAGAAAAAUUGUAAGAAAAAGGGCACAUGAGCAAUACAGAGCUGCAACAAGCUGCCAGCCAGCAUAAUAGUAAUAACAUUCUAACAGGGCUUUUGCUCAAAGACUUUGAAAGACCAUGAGGUUUAAAAAGACCUAAAGGGCUUGUGACAAAAGCCACAUGCCUAGGAGAUGGGUUGUUGACUUGUAACUCCAUCUGCCUCAGACGAUUCUUCAAGCAGCUCUUUAAAGGUCACACGACAGAAGGAGUUCAGUGGAAGGUGUAGCAACCUGUUUGGAGAAACCUCGUCUGCAUGCAUGUGGCUAAAACACAGGUAGGAGUUGCAGUAUCCUUCAUGAGCUCUUAUAGUGAAGAGAGCGCUAAUUUGAAAAUGAGAGUCCUCCUAAUUGUUGCAGAAUGGACAGGGAGAGGCAGGGCUCUUGCAGGGUUUCCAGCUGGGAAGACACACAGAAGAAGGAGAAGUCUUGUAUUUUCCAUAUGGUGGAAGCCAUGGAAGAGAGCACCAUGCUUUCCUCUCUUUGCAAAUUGUCUUCUUGUUGCUAAUAAGCCUAGCAACUAUUUUAAUUAGAAGUCACAAAGAUGAGCUUUGAAUAAAUCGGAUUCUGGUCCCUGAGGAGCUCAAGGGUCAAUAUUGGAGCCUCCUGACCUUGGACAGGAAGGAAAUUUCUUCAAUGGAUGGAUGGAUGGAUGAAAAGAUCAGUUCGUAAAUCCAGUUUUAAUUUAUAAAUAUUCACAUCUUUCUGAGUACACCAUUUUUUACCCCUCAAAGCCUGUGUUUCAGCAGUCGACAUAGGGCAAUAAACACAUAAAUGAUGGUGACCAAACCUGCAUGUGAAGAGUCUCAACCGCCUAAUUACCUGGCUGCAGGUGACCUGAGUGUUUCUGGGAGCAAGGUGGAACCUGGAAAGUCCCUGAGACUUCACAUGUGCUUUAUAAGCCCUUGGCAUUUCAGGCACACGGGUAAAACUCAACUUGGUCUAGCAGAGGCAGAGACACACUGCCAGGCUGUGAACUAUAUAAAGAAUUUGGUUCCCUGGGAUAUGGACCAAUAAUCUCCUUGAGGUGCCUGAGACCAUGAAGCUGAAUUAUGGCUGUAUUAUGUCAAGUCUUGAAGUUCAAGCAUUGUAUGGAGGAGCAAUCCCUUUGUGCUCUACACAUUUGGUGGAUACAUGAACCAUCUCAGGCUCCAGUCCUGUCAACCAAAAUGCUUUUGUCCCAGCAAAAGUACACUUUAAAAGACAGCACGUCACACAGCAUUCACUUUGCUAUUUUAAACUGUACACACAUUCAACAUCAUGGAGCAGCUGAGCACCAGGACAUGGUAUUCACACUGGAAUCCAUUUCGGAGAGGUUCACCCUUGUAGCACUUCCAGAGGAGUCCAGAACAGUGAGAUUUUAUCCAAUUGCCUGGGCUGCAGAACAGCUCUGAGCAGACCCCUGAAGGGUCAAUGACCGGUUACAUUAAAAAGCUAGAAAAAUGGCUAUGUGCCACAAAGCACUGAGCUGUAGUUAUAGCUGUGAUCCUCUGGAAAAUGAGACUAAUUAUUCAGAUAUGCUGAUAAUGAUUACUCCUGAAAUAGUUCUGAUCAGCCAGUCCUGUGAAAGAUUUGACAUGUGUCCAAAGCUCUUUGUCCCUUCCGUCAGCCAUCCAACCUAACAAUCACAACUGUCCCGCUGAUAUCUUAACCUUUCAGGACAAAAUGAGGAAAUGGCCAGGCAACAAAAAUGCCCCCCAAAGAGUCCCUGAACUAAGCACAGGCUCAGAAACUUGUUACAUUAAAUUUUAUUUAAGCACAGUCGUAAUAGUCUUUUAUUAUCCAUCUGGGUAAACUCUGAAACGGCAAAAAAAAGGGCAAAACCUGCAGGAAACUGAUUUGAAAGCUGCCCUGCAUCAUUCCGGAGUGAGCAGGUAAUGAGCUCAUGCAAGUCUGUGCUGGGACGUGUACACACGUUGGGAUUUACACUUUCAGAUUUCAGUGUUUGCAUGCAAGUUCAAGUUCAGCAUUUCCUGGUGGGUGAGAGCCUCCUUAUGGCUAUUGAUUAAUGUAGAGCCUUCUGGCUGGAUUUCUAAAGGAGAAAAAUGUGGAGAAAAAGAACUCAAAACAAGUCAAGGAACUUAAUUGCUUCAGCUCUUACAUAUCAACUAUUUUGCAGGAAAGUGGCUGUAUCACAGCACAUUUAUUUCCCAUGUCUGCAUUAUAAUACCUCCCUAGGCUAAGGCAGCUGAGGCUGAUGCGGAACUUCCAGGGUUGACUAUGGGGUUUAGAGGAUGUGGUGGGACGUGAGACUUGGGGCAAGACUCCACGACCCCAGAGGUCCGUUCCUGCCUGGAGUUCCUAUGAGAACACCCUGACCUCCCUCUCCCUCUUCUCCACCAUCCCCUUCCCCCUCCAUCGCAGUCUGCACAGGCAGAAUUGCCCAAAAUUCAGCCCAGCCCGAAGCUACUGUCACCUGAACAUGCAGUAAGGGGUUCCACCAAGGCUCUUGCUGGGCUGUGCUUCACUUUCUGCCUCCAGUACAUGUCUCCUUCAGUAGGAAAGUGGAGAGAGAUUGCUUUUCAUGUAUUUUUUUGUUUGAUCCUCUGCAAAAGUCUUGUAUUUUCCAAAAGUCAGAUUAAUUCUUGCCCCUAGUUUCAAAUAAAAAUGUCUCCUUGUGGGCAAAGUCACACCUUGGGAGUUUUCUGUGGGAAAAGCAGAAAUUUAGGAGAGCUCUGAGUAAGAAAAGCAGGGGAAAAGCUAGAGAUGGCAUUUAUAUGUUGUUUAAAGCUGUCACUGCCUCUUUAGCUCUUUCUUGCUGCCUCUGAGGAACAUUCAGCCACAGAAUGCUUUAAAGCAGCUUGCUUUAGUAAUACUGGGGUUUUUUUUGUUGAGCUAUUUUUUUUAAUCACUGGAUCUCAAAAUAUUUUUUUAAGUAAGUAAAGCUAGAUUCCUUACUUCAUUUAACAGUAGGUGAAGUGAAUUGCCCCAGCCAUGUAUUAUAUGCCAUUGUCAGAACUGAAAAUAGAACCGAGCCUCUUGUACAAUGCACUGCCCACUCUGCUCCACUGUUUGAGAAAGCAAAAAAUAUCCUUUUAUCCCCCAGAAUACUUUAUGAAUAAAUACUUCAUAGCACAUUGGCAUAAAAAUGGUCAUUUGCCAUGCUGGAAAGGCUCUUCUGGCACUUGGUGAUUCGCAGUCCCAUAGUCACAUCCAAAAAACCUUUGUGUCAUCAGUGUCCUAUGGCGCAAUGAUCUCUGUGUCCUGCCAGGUUCUGCCCAUGAGCAGGGACUCAUCAAGGGGAGCUGCAGCCCUGGAAAUGGCAGCAGAAUUUGGGCAAGGUAGCUUGAAAAUUAGCUUGCUUUUGCACAUAUGCACAGACCCUGGGGGAGACGACCGCUCGCCUGAAGUAGUCACAACAAAUGUUUCAUGGACCAUAAAGAUUGUGAGGGGCCAUCGCACAUUUCUCCCAUGAGUUCCUUUGCAACACAGGGCAAAGAAUAAUUUUGGCAUUUGGAUGCUAACUAAUUUUUGGCUGUAUGGUGCAGCAGUACAGUUGCCUACUUUAUUUUAUUUUUAGCCCGCUGCUGACAGAUAUCUGAGGGGGGGCUUUUCUGCUUAUUUCACACUGUGGCAGUGCUUGCCCAACUUAGCUGGCUGUGGACGAUGCAGUAAAGAAAAUUAAAGUGAAAUUUGGCACACAAGGUUAGUUUGCCUUACUUCAGAGAAGCAUUCAGGGGCAGUUAAAGCAGAGCACUAGGAACAACCCAUCCCCAUCUUAAAUACACUUUCGUUUGCUUUAAAACUCCAGUUGUCACUUCUGUGCCUCCCAUUUAAUCUGCCUCCAACACCCCAGCAUUCUCAAUGGUUAUAAAUAGAGGGGCAGCUCGAAUGAAACAACGCUUUCAAUGCUUCCAGUUAUCUGUCAACAGUCUCUUACAAAUGCAAUAGAAUUUUCUCCCAGAAGAGACGUUGGGUUUACUGGUGAUUUGUGUUAUUUUUCCUCUCUUGUACACAG
This is a long non-coding RNA of Harpia harpyja (harpy eagle), 7606 nucleotides long. RefSeq lists it as uncharacterized. The transcript is spliced from 3 exons. Lineage: Eukaryota; Metazoa; Chordata; Aves; Accipitriformes; Accipitridae. The record is from RefSeq and is a predicted model, not a curated record.